RNAcentral lists this long non-coding RNA (886 nucleotides) under Papio anubis (olive baboon). Its description in RNAcentral is "lncRNA (ENSPANG00000050008.1)". The record is from RNAcentral. Lineage: Eukaryota; Metazoa; Chordata; Mammalia; Primates; Cercopithecidae.
CCUGGGUAUAACACUCCCAAUUAUGAGUUGUGGAGAUAAAUCUAUCUAUCUAUAUUUUUUAUUUUUCAGAACAAUGUUUAUGUUGUGUAUAGCUAAUUGCUGUAAGUCUAACACAAAUGAAGCUUACAGUAGCUCAACACAUAAAAGUUAAAAAUAAGUUGAUCUUGCAACUUUGCCUUUUGGUUUUAUUGUCGGCUUUAUUGAUUGAAUUAUUUACUUUUUGAGGAAUAAACAGUCUUUAUUGGACUCAGCGCAGGAGUCCGUGGGUCUUGAGGACCUCUGUAUAUUUGUCAGUUUUCUUCUCCACAUUCUUUUCAGCUGUUUCCAUAGCCUCAUGAGCUGUUUCUUUUUCCAGUAGUGGAUCUUGGUCUUCUCCUUCCUCUUCUCCUCCAGGGUGGCUGUGACUGUCUGGCACUUCCAGCUUGAGGGCAGCAGGAACCACCACCUGUUUUUUCCUGUCAUAGGGUGUUGGGAUGCUGUCAAACACCUUGAAGCGGUCCAGGGAGGCCUGGCCUCCUUGGUCUUGUGAGGCAGCAUGCCUCGCAGUCUGCCGGAAGAUGAAGCUGGGGACCAGGAAGUGGUGGGGACCAGGAAGUGGUGGGCCCAGGAAGUGGUAGAUGCCUCGGAAAGGGUUGCUGUUCAUCCCCUUGCAGAGGAAGGCCAGAUCCAGGAGAUAAUCAACUAAGAGACGGGGACCCUUUUAGGUCAGGUCUUCAGAUAAGCUCAACCAAUUGUCAACCAGAACAUGUUUAAACUUGCCUAUAGUCUAGAAGCCCUCACUUUGAAUUGUCCUACCUUUCUGAACCAAAUCAAUGUAUUUCUUAGAUGUAUUUGAUUGAUAUCUUAUGUCUCCCUAAAAUAUAGAAAAUCAAGCUGUAUGUUGAUC